This 500-nucleotide ribosomal RNA is filed under the name uncultured bacterium. RNAcentral's name for it is "bacterial SSU rRNA". It matches the Rfam family "Bacterial small subunit ribosomal RNA", at positions 28 to 507 of the family's 1533-position model. The record is from RNAcentral.
GACGAACGCUGGCGGCGUGCCUAAUACAUGCAAGUCGAGCGGAAUGAUGAAGAAGCUUGCUUCUUCUGAUUUUAGCGGCGGACGGGUGAGUAACACGUGGGCAACCUACCUUGUAGAUUGGGAUAACUCCGGGAAACCGGGGCUAAUACCGAAUAAUCCAUUUUGCUUCAUGGCGAGAUGUUGAAAGACGGUUUCGGCUGUCACUACAAGAUGGGCCCGCGGCGCAUUAGCUAGUUGGUAGGGUAAUGGCCUACCAAGGCGACGAUGCGUAGCCGACCUGAGAGGGUGAUCGGCCACACUGGGACUGAGACACGGCCCAGACUCCUACGGGAGGCAGCAGUAGGGAAUCUUCCACAAUGGACGAAAGUCCGAUGGAGCAACGCCGCGUGAGUGAAGAAGGUUUUCGGAUCGUAAAACUCUGUUGUAAGGGAAGAACACGUACGAGAGUAACUGCUCGUACCUUGACGGUACCUUAUUAGAAAGCCACGGCUAACUACGUG